This is a long non-coding RNA of Juglans regia (Persian walnut), 487 nucleotides long. RefSeq lists it as uncharacterized. The record is from RefSeq and is a predicted model, not a curated record. NCBI's taxonomy places the organism in Eukaryota, Viridiplantae, Streptophyta, Magnoliopsida, Fagales, Juglandaceae. The transcript is spliced from 2 exons.
AAUCACAAAUCAACACAGAAUAAUUAUUCCGGAAAUUGAAAAGUUUUAACUUUUGGCUUCAACCCAUCUUUGUUAGUCGACCCCUAAUGCGUUCACGUGAUUGCGCAACAUACUAUAUCCUUCUCCACUCAGCGCUUCAGAGCCUCAGAGAGAGAGAGAGAGAGAGAGAGAUGGAACCCCCACCAUCACAAGCCAUUGAGACUUCUGGCAAGGACCUUGAGUUCCAGGUUGAACAGGAUGAACAAGACAAGGCCAUCGAUAGUUGCUGUUCUUGCUGCUACGACUGCUCAGAGAGCUGUUUCUUCGAUUAUUUGUUCUGUAACCUCUGUUGAGGGAGUCUUAAAAUUUACUCCAGCCAUUAAAAAUAUCGAAAUGGAUCUUCUUGACAUCAUUAAUCAGGGUGUUGAAACUGCUGUUUGUUAUCUAUAUUGAUGAGUGAAUCAUGGUAAUUUGCUAUAUUAAUUGAUUGCCUUGCUUGUAGACUGUA